Molecule: ribosomal RNA, 433 nt
Filed under: uncultured bacterium
Lineage: Bacteria
Description: partial 16S ribosomal RNA
Rfam family: Bacterial small subunit ribosomal RNA
Source: RNAcentral
AACGAACGCUGGCGGCAUGCCUAACACAUGCAAGUCGAACGAGACCUUCGGGUCUUGUGGCGCACGGGUGCGUACCGCGUGGGAACCUGCCCUUAGGUUCGGCAUACCUCCCCGAAAGGGGUGCUAAUACCGGAUAAUGUCUUCGGACCAAAGAUUUAUCGCCUUUGGAUGGGCCCUCGUUGGAUUCGCUAGUUGGUAGGGUAAAAGCCUACCAAGGCGAAGAUCCAUAGCUGGUCUGAGAGGAUGAUCCGCCACACUUGGACUGGGACACGGCCCAGACUCCUACGGGAGGCAGCAGUGGGGAAUAUUGGACAAUGGGCGAAGGCCUGAUCCAGCAAUGCCGCGUGAGUGAUGAAGGCCGUAGGGUAGUAAAGCUCUUUUACCCGGGAUGAUAAUGACAGUACCGGGAGAAUAAGCUCCGGCUAACUCCGUG